AAACCGCUUUUGAUAGGGAAGAAGCNCUGACGGUACCUAUCGAAUCAGCAUCGGCUAACUCCGUGCCAGCAGCCGCGGUAAUACGGAGGAUGCAAGCGUUAUCCGGAAUUAUUGGGCGUAAAGCGUCCGUAGGUGGUUGUUCAAGUCUGCUGUUAAAGCGUGCGGCUUAACCGCAUACCAGCAGUGGAAACUGGGCGACUAGAGUGCGGUAGGGGUCAGGGGAAUUCCCAGUGUAGCGGUGAAAUGCGUAGAUAUUGGGAAGAACACCGGUGGCNAAAGCNCCUGANUGGACCUGCACUGACACUGAGGGACGAAAGCUAGGGGAGCGAAAGGGAUUAGAUACCCC
RNAcentral lists this ribosomal RNA (346 nucleotides) under uncultured cyanobacterium. Its description in RNAcentral is "bacterial SSU rRNA". It matches the Rfam family "Bacterial small subunit ribosomal RNA", at positions 427 to 788 of the family's 1533-position model. The record is from RNAcentral. Lineage: Bacteria; Bacillati; Cyanobacteriota.